GAUGAACGCUGGCGGCGUGCCUAAUACAUGCAAGUCGAGCGGACGGACGCUAAGCUUGCUUCGCUGAUGUUAGCGGCAGACGGGUGUGUAACACGUGUAUACCCUCCCUAUAAGUCGGGGAAAACUUCGGGAAACGGGCUAUAAUACGGGAGAAUCUUCUGCACCGCAUGGUUCAAAAGUGAAAGACGGUGUUUCGGGCACUUAUAGAUGCUUCCGCGCUGCAUGAGCUAGUUGUUGAGGUAACGGCUUACCAAGGCAACGAUGCAUAGCCGACGGGAGAGAGGGAUCGGCCACACUGGAGGUGAGACACGGUCCAGACUCCUACGGGAGGCAGCAGUAGGGAAUGUUACGCAAUGGGCGAGAGCAUGACGGAGCAACGCCGCGUGAGUGAUGGAGGUCUUCGGUUCGUAAAACUCUGUUAUUAGGGGAGAACAGAUGUGUAAGUUGCUGAGCACUUCUUGACGGUACCUAAUCAGAAAGCCACGGCUAACUACGUG
This 497-nucleotide ribosomal RNA is filed under the name uncultured bacterium. RNAcentral describes it as "partial 16S ribosomal RNA". It matches the Rfam family "Bacterial small subunit ribosomal RNA", at positions 28 to 507 of the family's 1533-position model. The record is from RNAcentral.